RNAcentral lists this ribosomal RNA (484 nucleotides) under uncultured bacterium. Its description in RNAcentral is "partial 16S ribosomal RNA". It matches the Rfam family "Bacterial small subunit ribosomal RNA", at positions 29 to 507 of the family's 1533-position model. The record is from RNAcentral.
AGUGAACGCUGGCGGCAGGCCUAACACAUGCAAGUCGAGCGGCAGCGCGGGGGCAACCCUGGCGGCGAGCGGCGGACGGGUGAGGAAUUCGUCGGAAUCUGCCUUUUUGUGGGGGAUAACGUAGGGAAACUUACGCUAAUACCGCAUACGUCCUACGGGAGAAAGUGGGGGACCGCAAGGCCUCACGCAGAAAGAUGAGCCGACGACCGAUUAGCUAGUUGGUGGGGUAAAGGCCCACCAAGGCGACGAUCGGUAGCUGGUCUGAGAGGAGGAUCAGCCACACUGGGACUGAGACACGGCCCAGACUCCUACGGGAGGCAGCAGUGGGGAAUAUUGGACAAUGGGCGCAAGCCUGAUCCAGCCAUGCCGCGUGUGUGAAGAAGGCCUUCGGGUUGUAAAGCACUUUUGUCCGGAAAGAAAUCCCUGGAGCUAAUACCUUCGGGGGAUGACGGUACCGGAAGAAUAAGCACCGGCUAACUUCGUG